RNAcentral lists this ribosomal RNA (497 nucleotides) under uncultured bacterium. Its description in RNAcentral is "partial 16S ribosomal RNA". It matches the Rfam family "Bacterial small subunit ribosomal RNA", at positions 28 to 507 of the family's 1533-position model. The record is from RNAcentral.
GAUGAACGCUGGCGGCGUGCCUAAUACAUGCAAGUCGAGCGAACAGACGAGGAGCUGGCGCCUCUGACUUUAUAGGCGGACGGGUGAGGAACACGUGGAUGACCUAACUCUCAGACUGGGAUAAUAUCGGGAGACCGGAUCUAAGGCCGGAAAAUAUAUUGCACCGGAAGGUGCACGAGUUGAAGUCGGUUUUGCUGUGGGUUAUAGAUGAAUCCGGGCUGCAUUAGCUAGUUGGUAGGGUAACGGCUUACCAAGGCUGCGAUGGGGAGCCGACCUGAGAGCGUCAUCGCCUACACUGUCACUGAGACAGAGUCCCCACUCCUACGGUAGGCCGCAGUCGGGACUCCUCCGCGAAGGGGGAGAGCCUGACGGAGCAACGUCGCCUGAGUCCUGAAGGUCUUCUGCUCGUAGAGCUAUGUUAUUAGGGAAGAACAAAUGCGUAAGUACCUAUGCUCGUAAUGACGGUACCUAAUGAGAAAGCCCCGGCUAACUCCGUG